Aedes albopictus (Asian tiger mosquito) is the source of this 116-nucleotide non-coding RNA. The record is from Rfam. NCBI's taxonomy places the organism in Eukaryota, Metazoa, Arthropoda, Insecta, Diptera, Culicidae.
CACCCAGCAACUUCUAUCCCUACUUCCACGUGGCACCGGCCGGACUGCGAGCAACCUUAGGGAAGAUCGGGUAACUAACCUCGUUGGGAACUUUGGUCGUAGGCUGACAGGAAAGA